AGGAAUUUUAUUUCAAAAUCCAUUGAAGCAAAAAUAUGUGCAAAGGAUUAAAAAGCUUUGCUUUUUUGCCAUUACAAAGCAUUUCUUAUGAAACCAUUAUGAUUUCAUUUGAAAAACCUUUUACACUCGCAUCUUUGGAUCUUCUACCUACACGCAAAUUUGCAACUGUUAUUGAUUGACAUCGGAGUGUUCUGGCAUUUUGUAAUGAAAAUUUUAUUUUUAUCCUUAAAAUGCUUGUGAAUACUAAUGAAGAACAAUAAUUUUUAAAAAAUAAGUAUCCGACGACGUGCCUUUAUGACUUCAUUUUGUGAAAUAACUUUGUUAUAAGACUAUCAAAAUGGAAUGACUUUGUCAGACUUUUUUUUAUUGCUAUAAGAUUCUGAAGAAGAAAAUACUUUUGAAAUUCACUCUGGUACUGAAGGAUGAAACCGGAAUUUGGUAAAAGCGAUGUUUGAAAGUAAAAUCCAAUCUGAUAUGACAGAGAAGAAAGUUUCAUUUCUUUCAAUUUGUCUUACAUAAGAUAAAAGUACUUUAAUAUUGCUGCAAGAAUGUACAGCAGCACUUUAUUCUGGGUUCAAAUGUCUUAAACAUCAGACAUGGUAUGAUUUUACCGACUCUUUUUUUUUUUAUUCACCCAACUCCUAAAGUAUACCAAGCUAUAUGAAACCGAAGAAAGAGAGAAAGCAAUUGUCAUAAGUGCUAUGAUGGAAGGAUGUUCACUAUUUCAAAGUACCUAUAGCUUAGCCAGCUAGUAGCAAACUCCAUUUAAAAGACAGAGACUACGGAUAUGGCAUGGAUCCUGGAAUUCUGCUAGUUGACUUGAGUGACACAAUGUUGAUGAGAAAGUGAAGAAGAAGAAGAAGACGAAGUCACACAAGAAACAGAUUCAGUUCAACAAGAGGGUAAAAGACGACUAAGAUGCAGCCUGACAAAGUGGUGUUCUUGAACUUCAUUAUCUGCUCUGCAUUCUUCUUGAAAAGAAGGAAGUGAAAGGAUAUCCUACGAAGAUGUCACUUCGUGGCAAACUCAUUUAUAAGUGGGGAAAGUCAUGUUGGUGUAUAAAGUUUUAGAAUAUUCUAAACCAAAAAUGUAUACACUACUGAAGGCAUUUUUGACGAAUAUUUCAAAUGACGUAAACGGAGUUAUCUUACCGAGAAAGUUUUUUAUAUAAUUUGGAUCUAAAAAGCUGCAACUUAAUGGACAUAGAAAUAAGGGUCUACCACGGAAGUUGAAAAGAAUAUAUGAAGACACCCUAAUUGCUUAUGCAAACCAUCAGGUAAAAAAAAAAAACUUGAGAAAGUAGUAACAGGCUCAUCCAAAAAAGGCAAAUUACAUUAAGAGAUUCGUUUGGAAAAUUACAUUAUAAUGCUUGACGGCAGUUUUUUAAGGACUCUAGUUACAUACCUACAAAAAAAAAAACUAAACUUGAACGAAACGAGAUGUUUACUUCCAGGGAAUAGUGCAUUACAGAAUUUAGUUUUUUUUUUUCUAAUUCGAUAGAUCAGCUGUUGGCAUUUUUGCUUUUGAGAAGACGCAACUUGUGUUUGGCAAAGUUCAUAUCAUAACAAAGACCAACAUUGAAUAUUAAAAAGAGAAUAUUGAUUUCUUAAAAUUAAUUUGAUGAAAAAUGAAAUAGAAAUAUAAAUAUUUUCAAAAAAAAAAAAUAAAUCAACACCUAUGUACCUAUAAUUAAAACAACCACAAAAUUAAUUCAAUGUAAUUGCUGCUUUGUCUUUUGAUUAUUAUUAUUAUUGUUUGUCGCAACCACACAUACCGCCAAAAGGCUGAAAGCAUUUAAUUUAACGAGAAAUUCUCAUUAAUUUAGAAAUUCAAAACAUGCCUUCUGUGGUAGAUUCCUAUAAAUGUAGCUUUGGUUAUAUGAAUGUAUGUCGACUUUUGCAAAAAUAUUCAUCAUUUUGUUUAGUGCAAAUAAAUCUAUGCACAUCAUUGACAUGGGAGUACGUAUCAUAGCAAUCAAUCUGAAUGAGGUGAGGAUUUUCUAAUUUUGGGA
Episyrphus balteatus (marmalade hoverfly) is the source of this 2011-nucleotide long non-coding RNA. RefSeq lists it as uncharacterized. The transcript has 4 exons. The record is from RefSeq and is a predicted model, not a curated record. Lineage: Eukaryota; Metazoa; Arthropoda; Insecta; Diptera; Syrphidae.